AGCGACAUUAAUCAAGCUUCGUUUCAUAUCGUGCUUCUGAAGAGAGCCAACAGGUGAAUCAUGAAGAGUUUUGCUUUUCUCGUGCUCCUCAUUGGGGUCUCCGUUGCAUUUCCUCCUGAAGAUCUGCAUCACAAUUUGGCCCGACCAAGGCACAACUCUGACUCCGAUUCUGAUGAGAUGCCUGGAAGGUUCCCUUUUCCUCCAAGAAGGGGUCCCUUUUCCCACCUGACGUCAGAGCAGCUCCUCCAGCUCCUUCUGGCUGCCUUCUCCUCAGUCUUACCUCCGCCAGCCACUACACAUGCCCCACCAUCUACCACACGAUCUACCUCUACACCCUCAACUACCCCAACCACUAGACCUUCAACUACCCCAACUACAACCAAAAAGACUACUUAGUCAAUUAUACACAAUCAUUGAAAAUGAAAAGAAGAGCCUGAGAAGAAGACCUUUCUGACUAAAUGUGUCUCCUGACCCAGCGGACCUGCCUCGUCUGCCCUUCAUGUCUCCACCUCCUUCUCCUAUGUUCGUACGAUAUUCUGAGCUCUCCUCAGUCAGCUCUCUUCUCACGAAUGUUUGUCACGCAGCCAGAAAAAUAAA
Brienomyrus brachyistius is the source of this 597-nucleotide long non-coding RNA. RefSeq lists it as uncharacterized. The record is from RefSeq and is a predicted model, not a curated record. Lineage: Eukaryota; Metazoa; Chordata; Actinopteri; Osteoglossiformes; Mormyridae. The transcript is spliced from 4 exons.